RNAcentral lists this ribosomal RNA (440 nucleotides) under uncultured bacterium. RNAcentral describes it as "partial 16S ribosomal RNA". It matches the Rfam family "Bacterial small subunit ribosomal RNA", at positions 338 to 795 of the family's 1533-position model. The record is from RNAcentral.
CCUACGGGAGGCAGCAGUGGGGAAUAUUGCACAAUGGGGGGAACCUUGAAGCAGCAACGCCGCGUGGGUGAAUAAGUACCUCGGUAUGUAAAGCCCUUUUAGCAGGGAAGAAAAUGCCGGUACGUGACCAAGAAGCACCGGCUAACUACGUGCCAGCAGCCGCGGGAAUCCGUAGGGGGCAAGCGGUAUCCGGAUUUACUGGGUGUAAAGGGAGCGUAGGCGGGAAGGCAAGUGUGGAGUGAAAGCCCGGGGCCCAACCACGGGACUGCUUUUGAAACUGUGUUGCUGGAGUGCAGGAGGGGUAGGCGGAAUGCCUGGUGUAGCGGUGAAAUGCGUAGAUAUUAGGCAGAACACCGGUUGCGAAGGCAGCUUACUGGACUGUAACUGACGUUGAGGCUCGAAGGCGUGGGGAGCAAACAGGAUUAGAUACCCUUGUAGUC